RNAcentral lists this ribosomal RNA (253 nucleotides) under uncultured bacterium. RNAcentral describes it as "partial 16S ribosomal RNA". It matches the Rfam family "Bacterial small subunit ribosomal RNA", at positions 524 to 776 of the family's 1533-position model. The record is from RNAcentral.
UACGGGGGGAGCAAGCGUUGUUCGGAUUUACUGGGCGUAAAGCGCGCGCAGGCGGCCAUUCAAGUCAGGGGUGAAAGCCCAGAGCUCAACUCUGGAACUGCCUUUGAAACUGUAUGGCUUGAGUAUGAGAGAGGUGAGUGGAAUUCCCAGUGUAGAGGUGAAAUUCGUAGAUAUUGGGAAGAACACCGGUGGCGAAGGCGGCUCACUGGCUCAUUACUGACGCUCAGGCGCGACAGCGUGGGGAUCAAACAGG